This 879-nucleotide long non-coding RNA is filed under the name Gossypium barbadense (sea-island cotton). RNAcentral describes it as "long non-coding RNA (GBAR_LNC000891)". Lineage: Eukaryota; Viridiplantae; Streptophyta; Magnoliopsida; Malvales; Malvaceae. The record is from RNAcentral.
AGUAGGCCAAAUUUGCCCAGGCCCACUAGAAACCCAAAUAUAUAAUAAAUAAAUAAAUAAAUAAAUAUGUAUAUUAAAAACCCAACAAAUAUUAUAACAGUCCAUUAAUGUCCUAUCAAGCCCAAAGACCCAAAACAGUCCUUCUAGCCCAAAUCUAGUGGCCCAAUACUUAAAAUGAACCUAAGUGGCCCAAAAGACUUCACAACCCUAGGUCAUCCCUCCCUCAUUUGCGCCACAACCCUCUGCAGCCUCCAGGCGCCGUACAACGCCUCCAGCAACCACGCCAAUCCUCCGUACAUCAGCAUGGCUCCCGUACAUACACCAGCACGCACCCGUACCUGUAAGAAGACAAACAAACACAACAGCAAAUGAAAAUAAAAGAAAAUAUUGUAUUUUUUAUCGAUUUGAUUUUCCUUUUUUUUCUUCUUCGGCUAUAAAGCCGAAAGUUCCAUCCUUGUAAUCGUUUACACACGCAAAAAGGCAAUACAAGAAAAGAGAAGACCACCUAUAUUCGAAGGUGAUUUUUCGAUUUAUAUUUGCGGGCGUUCCUAUUUUUUUCUUUCGAUUGUUCUUUGUUUUGUGUUUUUUUCUCGAAAGUAAAUAAAGCGAAGAGGAGGGGACUUACCUUCGCGUAUGAGCCAUCGGAGACCACAUCUCCUUCGCUAAAAAUUGAAAUCGGAGAUGGGAUUUCAGGGGCCGAAAUCGAUAGCCUUUAGGCUAAUGUUCCAAGCGAGAGGCGCACAUGCGGUUCUCCCCUGUUCGCAGUAGUGGCGGUUGGACUGCACGGAUCCUUGGAUUCGGCCGAGUGGAGAAGGGGGCGUAUGGCUUCUUUUUGCUUUUGGUUCUAAAAGAACCAAGAAUCUUAGUCUUAGGGUUUUC